GAUGAAGAACGUGGCGAAAUGCGAUAAGUAGUGUGAAUUGCAGAAUUCAGUGAAUCAUCGAAUCUUUGAACGCACAUUGCGCCCCUUGGUAUUCCAUGGGGCAUGCCUGUUCGAGCGUCAUUUGUACCUUCAAGCUUUGCUUGGUGUUGGGUGUUUGUCCCUCGGGACUCGCCUUAAAGUCAUUGGCAGCCAGUGUUUUGGUUUUGAAGCGCAGCACAAGUCGCGAUUCAAGGCUAUCCGCCCGCUUCCACAAGCCUUUUUCACUUUUGACCUCGGAUCAGGUAGGGAUACCCGCUGAAAUUAAGCAUAUCAAUAAGCGGAGGA
This 324-nucleotide unclassified non-coding RNA is filed under the name soil metagenome. RNAcentral's name for it is "partial contains 5.8S ribosomal RNA, internal transcribed spacer 2, and large subunit ribosomal RNA". The stretch from base 1 to 120 matches the Rfam family "5.8S ribosomal RNA", at positions 35 to 154 of the family's 154-position model. The record is from RNAcentral.